UGCUAAUAUAAACUCAUGCUGCCUCUUCCU
This 30-nucleotide non-coding RNA is filed under the name Rattus norvegicus (Norway rat). Lineage: Eukaryota; Metazoa; Chordata; Mammalia; Rodentia; Muridae. The record is from RNAcentral.